This 266-nucleotide ribosomal RNA is filed under the name uncultured archaeon. RNAcentral describes it as "partial 16S ribosomal RNA". It matches the Rfam family "Archaeal small subunit ribosomal RNA", at positions 718 to 982 of the family's 1478-position model. The record is from RNAcentral.
AGUCACUGACAUUAGAUACCCCUGUAGUCCAGGGUGUAAACGCUGCGGGCUUGGUGUUGGGGGGUCCUUUGAGGGCGCCCAGUGCCGGAGAGAAGUUGUUAAGCCUGCUGCUUGGGGAGUACGUCCGCAAGGAUGAAACUUAAAGGAAUUGGCGGGGGAGCACCGCAACGGGAGGAGAGUGCGGUUCAAUUGGAUUCAACGCCGGACAACUCACCAGGAGCGACGGUUACAUGAAGGCCAGGCUGAUGACCUUGCCUGAUUUUCCG